CGCGAAACGCGCGGCCGCGAUCCACCCGCGAGAUUCGCUUCCACCUUGCCGUAAUGUCACCGGGAUAGACAUUGAGACCUAGUCCCACAUUCGGAGACGGUGUCAAGGUUGGCUCGCGGCAUUAUUCGGAAUCAAGAUCAUCUCACGUUACGCGGUCUUCGCGGUGGAUCAAGAAUUCGGCACGAACUUCGCGCAACACCGCUCCUAUUCAUCCUCGAUUCCCUCGAAGUUUUGAGACACCGAAGGAUCCUCUUGCUCAAUUCGCGGCAUGCCCGUUUUCAUGCUCAAGGAUCAUUGCCGAAAUCGGGGAUGAUUUGCGAGGAACGCGGGGAAGUUGGCCGUAGCCGCGAUUCGACGGGAGCUUCGAAAUUCGAUAAAUCGGAAAACCGUGAAUCCGGCGUGUAUCCUACUUUGAUCGCGCCUCGAGAUUAAUCUCGAGCGUUGCUUCGAAGUUCGAAGCUUUACUGAAGUUUUGCCAAAACCCGUCGACUUUACGAGCUACUGCCACGGACGAUCGUCGGCAAUUGGAACGAUCAGCGAAGUAAACAGAGGAGAAAGCGGAAUGGUUGUUAGAUAAAACAAUGAACAGUCUUUUGGCGACGCCGCGGGGACCGUAAAUUUGUUCGUUGAAACUGCUCGCGUGGAAAUUAAGCGGGGAACCGGCCGGUUUCGGAUUCGCUGGACGAUCCGCUUUUCUCGGAUGAUCGAUCGGUGAUUUUCGCGCGCGAUUUCCGUACCCAGUACACGGCGGCUUCUUCCUCCUUCGGGUGGUGCUCGAUGGUCUGACGAUAAACGGUGGUGUAGGCCGGCAUCGUUCCCUGUGGUUCCGUGUGUUCCGUUCACCCUUGUUCCUCUCGUUCCCCGUCCGAGAACGUCGACACCUUUUUCCUCCGUAGAUCCCUCUCCUACGAAUAUUCUCUAACGCACUGGCUCGUUGCGCGGGCGGCACUAACUCUGGUCUUUUCCACGCGACUCCUCUCGCGCUCUUUCUUCUCCUCUCCCGUAUUACCGACGUAUCUCGAUCACUCCUACGUUUCACCCUCUUGAUCGUCUAUACGAUCGCUUUGCCCUCGACCGUUCUCGCUCCUCCGCGACUUCUCCGCCGCACUUCGUGCCUUCUCCCGAAGAUCGCGUCGCGAUCAUUCCUCGCCGGUCGAACGAUCGCUUCUCGAUCGACGGUCACGUACAUCUCCAUCGUCUUCCGACCCUCCUGGAUAGGUGGUCGCACGGUGUUUCGGUGGAAAUGCUGCGGCCGUAUGAUAUUUUGGCGAACGGCUCGCAUCGCCGAUGAUAAAUCUCGAGAGGCCCAGUUCGUUCCACGAGAAACGGUAACUCGAUCCGAGUAUCAGCGAUUUAGAGUCUCGUCAACGGUGUUUCCCUUGGCAGCAACCCUUCCCACGCUAAAGUCAAGGACAGCGAUUUGCAUAAACGGAACGCGAUUGUCUCGAUCUCGACGUUCGUCCAGCUUUAACUUCGGGAAAUCGAUUAAUCCUUCUGUUUGAGAACAUCUUGGACAAGAUUAGAACGCGAGUUUCCUAGAAAAGAUCAAACAAAUCGGUGCUGAGGAAACGAAAACAUUAUUGGAUCAUGCGGAACCGAAGGUUACGAGAUCGGAUUCGGCCGUGUUACGUGGAGCUGGAGCGCGCGUAGCCGUGGAUACGAUGCAACAGGAUGGAUAACGAUGUCCCCGUGAUCGUCCUGAAUCGCGUAACAUUGGAUCGGAGCAGUGGUUCCGAUGCAAAAGCGAUAUUUAUAGCGUGGCGACUGCCUCUACGCGGACUUUCCGGCAUCGUGCGGGCCAACAAAAAUAUAUUCGCACUUCGGAUGUCUCGCAGAACGAACGCCCGCUUCUUCGUCUUCGUCUCCGGGCUACCCGCGAGAUUACGCCAUUCAUUUCUCGCCUGUUCCUUGGUCGCUAGCCCGGACAAUAGAAUAGUACAACUAAAUCGAUCGGCUUGCCGGAUGAAUCUUCGGACCUCGCCUCUCGUAAAAUUCAUUCAACGCGAAUAAAACCAGUUGGACGCGUUUUGGCUCGUAAAAUAUAACUAUUUAACCAUAAAAUCUUCGGACAAACAGGAAGAAGGUAACACCGAUCAUCAACGAGCGCAUCGCGGAAACGUCUGCGAGGAGAGGACACAUCCAAGUGGCAACUAUGCAAACGGAAACGUCAAUCCGACCAAGAACUGGACGCGGAAGAAUAAACGGCCCCUGUCGCUUCGACGGCCUCUAUAAACUUGUAACUUAACGACCGCGCGUGCAACCGCUUACAUAACACCGUACAAGAGCAUAACUUUCAUGCGAUGUUACUUUCUUUCGGACACGCUCGAGCCAAGGCCGAGCUCGGGCAAGCGAUACGUCAACGCGUCGAAAUUAAUCGCGGAAAUAGCGAAUUAAAUUUGCCCCGUCCGAGGGGAUCGCGUUGAGUUAUUGGAUUUCAAAUUGCGAGAGCGACGAGCAACUUGCCAGACAGAGGUUCGGCCCGCGCCUCGCCGUUUGAAGCCCGAUAAAUCAUCGUUCGCCGUGGGCCGCCUUGAAUUCGUUCGAUCGACUAGGAGAACGGAAAUUCAAAAUGUAUAAGGAGUCAUUCGAUCCGCAAAUCAGCGAGGAUUAACGGCGUGCGCAGGCCGUGUACUAUCGGUCGAAAUAGCAGUCCGACUCUAAACUUAGUAACUUAGUUCCCCCGCAACUUGUCAAUUCCGCACGGACAACCGAGGAUGUUCGGACGGGGCGCCGCGCCGCGCCGCGGCUAUUCGACGGCUUGAUGGAAUGGAAUUAUUCGUCGGAGGAAAUUCGGCGCAACGCCCGCGCCGGGUAGCGUCGACGGUUUGAAAGCGUGUGCGGUAGUCGCGUCGAUUACACGCAAACGAGACGCUGUAUUUGCGGAUCAACGAACUCCUCGGGAAAUCCGGGCGAAUCAGGCCACGUUUACAAAUUCGAUUUCCGGAAGUAAAUGCUACACCGUUCACGAAGUACAGAACUGGCGUGCUUCGAAAUUGCAACGCCGAGAUCUCAAGUUGGUAUAGAAAGAUAUAAUACUCUACGAGUAUUGUGAUUUGUAUAAAGUAGGCUAGGCUUAUGAUACUUUAUAUCGUCAAGGUGUUGCAAUUUUCAUACGCGGAAGCGUGUUUGACGGACGAACGAGACCUGCCGGGUCGCGAUCGUUGACAGCGCCGAACAAAUGAAUAACGGCGAAACAAUGAGCGAGCAAAGAUUCUCGGAUUCGAGUAGACGUGGCCUGUUCGUUCGUGUUCACCGCUUCCGUUCUGAAAUUGGUGUACCCCUGGUACCUGCGACAAAUGGAUUCGCUCCUCGCGAACCUCGUCGAGAUGUUCGUGCGGCAGAACAAACGUUUCCGACGGAGUCACGGACCGACUGAAUUCGUCGUAGCAGGGCGGCGGCACGGGGCUCUUCGGCAAUUCCGGUGUCUUCGGCGGUUUAGCUCUGCGAUGGAACAGUAAAUCUUAUUAUUAACGAGUCCACUCGAUGGAGACCCACUCGAGGAAUGCUUUGAUGCUGCUCGGCAACCACUAUCCCGAUCGCGCGGUAUUGCGUCGCGCGCGUGCAAAUGCAGCCCAGAAAUACAGCCAUGUUUCGGAUUAAGUCACGCGUUAGGCGCAUUCAAGCGGAGCGAAGCUAGUUCUCUUUUAGCCAGAAGUUAGGCGGGGCUCGAUCGACAUGCUAAACGGUUUCUUAGAAAAAGUACCCACUCGACCGUUGCGAUUUAAGCAGCGAGAAACGUUCUGUCAACUACGUAAAAGUUGUCGGAAAUUGUCACGUUUGAGGUCGUCCGAAAGUAGACUAUAAAACGAGCGCGUUUUAUUUAUGUUUUUCAGUGUAUUCGUCGCGGUUAGGUCUCAGGUUGUCUUACAGUUUAAUGCGAAGACGUUGAAGUUUACCGAACCUAACAAAGCGAGAAGUGGUUGCCGAGGCGACGAUUGUGUGAGCGGUUAAUGAGGCGCUGCGAUUAAUGCUCGAGAAUAUGGUGACGAUAGAGAGACAGAGUUUAAUGAAUUGAGAGUUAAUGGCGAUGUUACAGAGCGGCGGUAGCGCGGUGGUAGCGGCGCGACAAACGGUUGCGCAUAAUAUAUAAAGGUGGUAUGGCUUUCUGACAGACUAGUGACCGCAGCCCUGUUGCCAAUGCUCGGCUUGAUAAUCGGAGGUGACGUGGUAAUGUUGAUACGAGAUGCACUCGACUGCUCAGACCUUUCGAUUACAAGCUUUAUAGAGUCAGAGGUUUGAAGGAGUUUCUGGGCGUCUACAUGCCUCACGUCUCGCACGUCGUAAUCGUCGAUUUUCUUGAUCACAUCACCCCUCUGGAGCGCCUCGUUCUCCGACUGCAAAACAGAAUAGAAUUCCCUUGAGUAACGUUCACGGUCUCCUUGCUUUCUGGUUGCUCAAUUAAUCCUUGCACCUCGUGCAGCGUUAAGCAUUUCUUCGUGUUGUCUUUUAAUUAAGCGACUAGAAUAACAAGCCUCGGCAUUAGUUUCAUAUCACUAUCGACAAGAUGUCUUAACAAUCUAGGCACAACUAGAAACGCGGUGAUUCCCAGAAUAGAAGUGUACUGAAAAUUGUUGAACAGAGUUAUUUCUUAGAGUCGAUUUCCUUAGAAUUUUAUUGUUCACUUCGUUUUCAUAAAGAAUCACCCUUUCUUGUUGUACCUCGAUUGUUAGGAUGUUGCGUGUAUUAGUACAGUUUGGGGUGUGGUUUAGAAAGAAAACAAGCAGCCAAGUAAUGUCGCGAAUUAUUUUAAUCAGUUCGGUUACUCGUAGGGGAGCACACCCAAAUGCUGUAAGGGAUUAGAAAAAGGUUGAUAAAUGCAGUAAUGCACGAUUAUGCUUUAACGAUCAACAGCUUUUGGACCGGGUCCAAACGUGUUUAUGGCCUCUCCUUUCUGCCUUCGACAACUGGUGCCAAAAAGAAUCUAGCCGAGACGAUCGUGAAGGUGCACGAGAUUAGGGCGCACGUGACAGGUGGAUGCUCGAGGUGCACAUUAAAUCCAGAAAGUCUUUCAACGCUGGGCGAUUGUAUCGCCUGAGAGUUAAUCGCGGUCGAGACAAAUCGACGGGAACAAAGUAUCCGCAAACGGCUAGCCUUUUCUAUCGAACGUUCGUAUAAUUUCCCUCGCAAUUGAGCUUUUCGUCAAAGCUUCAGAUUCCCGUUGUCUUUACCGAGAGUUCCAUCGUCGAUCAACGCCGAAAACCGUCGGCCGUUGAUACAGUCCGAGACACGAACAUGUCAAGUUCACGAAUGCAGUCGCGUCGGUUUAACGUUCACGGGGAACAAAGGCUUGCACCGUGGCAGAAAAAGAUGAAAAGCCGAGAGUCUAUAACGCGGUAAAUAUUAUGCUAUUGGCAGGAGGUAGUCUUCGUUAGAAAAUAAUCUGGAUCCCCUGCUGUUCCGCUGUGGAUGCUCCGCUGUACAUCCAAUAAUAACUGUACGGCGGCAACGCGUGCGAAUCGAAUCAGUGUGUUACCGCAUGCAUCGGGCAAACCCGCGUCGAGGAGGCGAGCACGAUUAAAACGAUGAUUAAAUAGAAAGAAUGAAUGAAUGAAUGAGAGAAGAGAAAGAGAGUGAGAGUGAGAGAGUGAAUCAGAGAGGAACUCACGCGGGUGACGACGAUCGGCGUGCCCAAAUCAGCGCCUCCGGCGAUACGUAUUCCCCAGGGUCUGCCGGUGGUGGAUCUCUUAAGCUUCACGAUCAACGUUUGUUUCCUCGUCAUGCUCUACUCCGUCUGUCACAACAACGCAACCGCGUGUUUAGAACGGAUACAAAACCGAGCUGCCUGAGAUCCUCGGUCGAGGAGAACCUACGAACAACGCGAGACGCGGGUGGCGAGAACAAAAAUCACCGUGUAGAAAGAGAGCACAGAGUACGAAGGCAAGUGAAAAAAAAACGUCGACGAGAGAGAGACAGAGAGAGAGAGAGAGAAAGAGAGACAACGAGAAUUAUCCGACGGACCUCGAUAGAGAUCGUUGACAGGGAUCGGACACGACACGAAUCCGUGGCGAAUCGGGACGGUGUCGAAGCCACUGCUCGGCUUACGCUCCUUACUGGCAAACGAGAACUACUGGGCUGCGCUCUGCCACUUGAUUUUGACAGGCUUUACUUCAGCGAGCUUAGUUACCCAACUAACCGGCCCGCCGCUUCUGCUAUUCUGGCCCCAUUUCGAAUUGGCAUACCGUGUGUGUAUUGUUCUGGCCCGACCUGCACUCAUUUCUCUGGCAUUUGCGGCCUCCCCGACUUUUGCUGCGUCUAACCAUGGGGACCAUCGAUCCCCUACGAAAUCCAAUAUCCCGUGGGAUACUCCGCGCGCGUUUUACAAUAUUUUACAGUUCCCGCGGCGAUCCCGGGCGGGUCCUAAGGUAGCCAGGGUACUUGUUAGUCCUUUGGAUGCGCGAGGUCGGUGUUCCUUGGAAUUACAAUCAGGGGUCUUGAAUUAACGAAGACAGGGGGCGGAAGGGCACAUACGCAAGCUGCACAAGUAGGGUACUUCUCACAGUACUUUGAAACCUUUCGCUUAACAGAGAAACUUACUUUAACGGUGCGCUUGCGAUUCGCCAGGAUGCGGUCUUACACCGUGAUGAGUUUCUAGUUUAAGUGGGCGGGGGGCGACUGUAAUCCUUAGACAAGAAUCGAUCUACAGGAGUAUCGGUUUAUA
Molecule: non-coding RNA, 6658 nt
Organism: Nomia melanderi (Alkali bee)
Lineage: Eukaryota; Metazoa; Arthropoda; Insecta; Hymenoptera; Halictidae
Source: RefSeq, a predicted model, not a curated record